CUGGCGGCGUGCUUAACACAUGCAAGUCGCACGAGAACGCUUCAGCUUGCUGAGGCUAGUAAAGUGGCGCACGGGUGAGUAACGCGUGGGUAAUCUCCCCCUGAAUUGGGGAUAACAUCGCGAAAGCGAUGCUAAUACCGAAUGACAUCUGAAGAAUUCCGGUUUUUUGGAUCAAAGGUGGCCUCUACAUGUAAGCUACUGUUUGGGGAUGAGCCCGCGUACCAUUAGCUUGUUGGUAGGGUAAUGGCCUACCAAGGCUACGAUGGUUAGCUGGUCUGAGAGGAUGAUCAGCCACACUGGAACUGACACACGGUCCAGACUCCUACGGGAGGCAGCAGUGAGGAAUUUUGCGCAAUGGGGGAAACCCUGACGCAGCAACGCCGCGUGAGUGAUGAAGGCUUUCGGGUCGUAAAGCUCUGUCAAGUGGGAAGAAAACAUAUGGUGACAAUACCGCUGUAUGCUGACGGUACCACUGAAGGAAGCACCGGCUAACUCCGUGCCAGCAGCCGCGGUAAUACGGAGGGUGCAAGCGUUAUUCGGAAUCAUUGGGCGUAAAGGGCGCGUAGGCGGUUUAAUAAGUCAGAUGUGAAAGCCCGGGGCUUAACCCCGGAAGUGCAUUUGAUACUGUUAAACUUGAGUAUGGG
Molecule: ribosomal RNA, 644 nt
Filed under: uncultured delta proteobacterium DSS5
Lineage: Bacteria; Deltaproteobacteria
Description: bacterial SSU rRNA
Rfam family: Bacterial small subunit ribosomal RNA
Source: RNAcentral